RNAcentral lists this transfer RNA (77 nucleotides) under Candidatus Azobacteroides pseudotrichonymphae genomovar. CFP2. RNAcentral's name for it is "tRNA-Ala". It matches the Rfam family "tRNA". Rfam says of the family: Transfer RNA (tRNA) molecules are approximately 80 nucleotides in length. Their secondary structure includes four short double-helical elements and three loops (D, anti-codon, and T loops). The record is from RNAcentral. Lineage: Bacteria; Pseudomonadati; Bacteroidota; Bacteroidia; Bacteroidales.
GGGGAAUUAGCUCAGUUGGCUAGAGCGUCUGCUUUGCACGCAGAAUGUCAAGGGUUCGAGUCCCUUAUUCUCCACUA